AUGCAACUUGCUCUGUUCCAGUAUUGGGCUAUCAGACUAUCACUGGGAAAGACCAAUCUCCUCGGAAGCAACAGAUUCAGUUGGGGGAAGGUGUGGUUGACUGAGGCAGUCUUCUGCCGCUGCAACAUCCACGCAAUAAUGGUGUACCAAAUCCACCUUAAGCACACGCUGGUCGCCCAGGUCGCGCAGAUGGAAUGGCUGGUCGAAUUUUGCAGGCGUGAUAGAACCGACCGAAAAGUUCAGGGCACCAAAAGCAACGUGGUACUCACUGUUCCCGCCAAGAACGGCACGCAAGGACUGCUUUGCAUGUGCUCGGCGACCUCAGCAACAGGUGUACUAAAAACACCAGAGAGCGUUCAUUCAUGCGAGAAUCAUCUGCCAUGGAAUAUCUGA
RNAcentral lists this ribosomal RNA (393 nucleotides) under Triticum aestivum (bread wheat). Its description in RNAcentral is "partial small subunit ribosomal RNA". The record is from RNAcentral. Lineage: Eukaryota; Viridiplantae; Streptophyta; Magnoliopsida; Poales; Poaceae.